UGCCUCUUCCCAUUCUAAACGGCGCCGUUUGGGAGCCCUACGAUUCUUGUUUUUUUUUCCUGUUCUGAAAGGAAUCUUGAACCCAGAUAAACUUAAUAUUUUUUGGCAGCCAUUCAAAUUAUUGGUGGCUUCAAAUUCACCUCUUACCAACAUAUACACCUGUAAUCUUUAUAGUUUCUGCAUCAGCCCAUAUGAUAUGAUGUAUCUGAAUCUGGUGUUUUCAAAAGGUGAUUAGGAGGGCUGGAGGAGAUUUCUAGACUUUCCAAAUAUCAGAGCUUUUGAUUUCCUUUCUUAGCUCAUAAAUAUUCCAAGAUCCCAAUUUCAGUUAGCGCAUCGCUUCAUUGAUAUGGUUCAGACAUGUUAGCAGUGUAUCCCUCGGGAACUAUCAACAAAUUCCACAUUCCUUUUAGCUUCAAUGCCCCUUCGCGCGGAUACAGAACCACUACCUUUGGUCAUUUGAUAAGUAGUUGUUCUGUCUUCUCGGAAUCAAGAGUUCCUUGGAGCAAUGUAGAGUGUUACCACUCAUCCUUUUCUCCACCAGGCCAAGUUAAAGGAAUUGGAUGGUUAGUGAUUUUUUUAAGUCUGUGUUAUUCAUUCAUAUAGAGUAGCUUCCGAGCAUUUUUUGUAAUUUAUUUCGACUUCAUCAAGUUUUGUCGUUCACGCAACAACUCGGAUGAAGAGUACCGUUCGUCACGCAACAUAGCUAUAAGUCUUUUAAGACGUUACAGGACCGUGAUUGAACGCGGUCAAGGCGAAACCUUAAAAGGAUUCAUUUCUGUUGGUAUGAACGCAUAUGCUCUCGGUUGCACGGAUGAAGAUUUGAGAAAAGAACUUAUGGCUAUGAAAGAAUCGGGUUUAGAGAUCGAUAGAAUGGAGAGUUACCACGGAAGCACACAAACUAAGUCCAAGAUUUUGAUGUCCGAGGUGGAUGAAUGCAUAUUGUGGCUUAGCAUUGUUUUCAUCACAAUCUUGUGUACGCCGCAACCCACGGUCGUCAGAUGGUCAUCGACUCCUUCGGUUUCAGAUGAAGUUCUAAAAAAAUGGAGAGGCUUUUGUCCUCCGAUGAUGGUGCGACGGUCAAGAGAGAAAAGAAGCGGUUAGAGUCUCGGGAUGAAAUAUCCAGUGGUGGUUAGCAAGGAGUCGGAUGAGAUCUCGGUUUAUCCGAUGUAUCUCUCCGUGGUUAGAAUAUCCAGCGUUACUGCCGAUCUUUCUCCGGUGGAACCGGUGAGACAAGAUGAAGGUAGUGCGUAGACACGUGUUGAUAGACUUGGACAGUGUCGGUCACUAUGUAUUGGGCUUUAGGCCCGGAUGUAUGUUUGUUCGGCCCGCUGGGGUUUGUGUAAGAAAAUGGGCUUGGGCCGUUUUUUAAAAUAAAACAUUGACGACAAAAAAAAAAAAAAUCAGGAAAGAAUUUGAUUUCUCUCUCUA
RNA transcript from Brassica napus (rape), 1428 nucleotides. RefSeq lists it as uncharacterized. NCBI's taxonomy places the organism in Eukaryota, Viridiplantae, Streptophyta, Magnoliopsida, Brassicales, Brassicaceae. The record is from RefSeq and is a predicted model, not a curated record. The transcript is spliced from 5 exons.